CUCAGCAAAAGCAGUUUUCUGGCUAGAAAGUGGAAAACUAAAGUUCAUUUUCAGAUAACUACAGAAAGGAUAUAAACUCAUCAUCCCACCCUAUGGCACAAUGUCCCAACCAUUAAGAUUAGCAGAUUUUCCUCAGUAAAAGUAGUGGAGAUGUUGCCCCUGAAGUGAAGCUUUAGCUCCGAAGAACUGCUUUUGUGAAAUAUGCAGGUGUCCUUGGGAUUAGGAAGCACUGCCACAAUAUUUGACUUCAGAGUUUAACUCGGAAAUUAGGCCAGACUUGAAUACUUUGGGUGGGAAUCUAAUGAAAUUUUCUACCUACAGAUAAUCUUUCUCUCUCAAAGUGUGCAGAAUUCAGUGCAAUCUUCCUUUUCAAUUUUCAACCUAAACAAUUUUGGCAAUUUUGGCCAAAAAGCAGAGCUUUUCAAGGGAUCCUUUCUCACCCUUCUCCUGAGAUUAAAGCAUUUACUAAAGCAAUGAGGUGUGCUUACCAUUCUUUGUGCUUGUAUCUGAAUUAUUCAGAGAAGCAAGACUAUGUUAUUGUCCAGCUGUCUUUUGAACAGCUGGGCUUUACAACAGUACAGACAAAUAGCUGAGCAGAAUACAGGUUUUUAUAAUACCAAGAACAUGAUAUUCAGAGAAGAGAAAUUACAAAAAGGAUCUUCUUUUACACUGACAGCGAAGUGUUUAGCUGAAAUUCGUAUGUGAUGGAAUCAGAUAACUAACAUUUGCUUCAGACUGUGACCAAAGGCAUCCUUCUAUCUUCUCCUGGUUGAGCUAAACAGAAAGAGCUCUUGCAUUGCCUCUCUCUCUAAGACAUGAAGAAAAAGGUUUGGCUCAAGAUCAAGGUAAUCAAGGCACUGCAUAAGCAGAAUGGAUGAAGAGUUUCCCAAACUGGAGUAAGAAUUGAUCAGUAUGGGCAAUUCAGCAGUUUUCUAAUUGUCAGGCUAACA
Long non-coding RNA from Oxyura jamaicensis (ruddy duck), 950 nucleotides. RefSeq lists it as uncharacterized. NCBI's taxonomy places the organism in Eukaryota, Metazoa, Chordata, Aves, Anseriformes, Anatidae. The transcript has 3 exons. The record is from RefSeq and is a predicted model, not a curated record.